RNAcentral lists this ribosomal RNA (300 nucleotides) under uncultured Methanosarcina sp. Its description in RNAcentral is "bacterial SSU rRNA". It matches the Rfam family "Bacterial small subunit ribosomal RNA", at positions 496 to 795 of the family's 1533-position model. Lineage: Archaea; Methanobacteriati; Methanobacteriota; Methanomicrobia; Methanosarcinales; Methanosarcinaceae. The record is from RNAcentral.
GCGAACUCAGUGCCAGGAGCCGCGGUAAGACGGAGGGUGCAAUCGUUAUCCGGAAGCAGUGGGUGUAAAGGGGCCGCAGGCGGUCUUAUAAGUCAGUGGUGAAAGCCUACAGCUCAACUGUAGAACUGCCAUUGAUACUGUAAGACUUGAAUUCGAUCGAAGUGGGCGGAAUAUGACAUGUAGCGGUGAAAUGCUUAGAUAUGUCAUAGAACACCGAUAGCGAAGGCAGCUCACUAGGUCUGGAUUGACGCUCAGGGACGAAAGCGUGGGGAGCAAACAGGAUUAGAUACCCCAGUAGUC